This 253-nucleotide ribosomal RNA is filed under the name uncultured bacterium. RNAcentral's name for it is "partial 16S ribosomal RNA". It matches the Rfam family "Bacterial small subunit ribosomal RNA", at positions 524 to 776 of the family's 1533-position model. The record is from RNAcentral.
UACAGGGGGGGCAAGCGUUGUUCGGAAUUACUGGGCGUAAAGGGCGCGUAGGCGGUACUUCAAGUCAGGCGUGAAAGCCCCGGGCUCAACCUGGGAACCGCGCUUGAGACUGGAGAACUAGAGUUCGGGAGAGGAUGGUGGAAUUCCCAGUGUAGAGGUGAAAUUCGUAGAUAUUGGGAAGAACACCAGUGGCGAAGGCGGCAUCCUGGACCAUGACUGACGCUGAGGAGCGAAAGCCAGGGGAGCAAACGGG